AGUGAACGCUGGCGGUAGGCCUAACACAUGCCAGUCGAACGGCAGCACAGUAAGAGCUUGCUCUUACGGGUGGCGAGUGGCGGACGGGUGAGGAAUACAUCGGAAUCUACUUUUUCGUGGGGGAUAACGUAGGGAAACUUACGCUAAUACCGCAUACGACCUACGGGUGAAAGCAGGGGAUCUUCGGACCUUGAGCGAUUUAAUGAGCCGAUGUCGGAUUAGCUAGUUGGCGGGGUAAAGGCCCACCAAGGCGACGAUCCGUAGCUGGUCUGAGAGGAUGAUCAGCCACACUGGAACUGAGACACGGUCCAGACUCCUACGGGAGGCAGCAGUGGGGAAUAUUGGACAAUGGGCGCAAGCCUGAUCCAGCCAUACCGCGUGGGUGAAGAAGGCCUUCAGGUUGUAAAGCCCUUUUGUUGGGAAAGAAAAGCAGCAGGUUAAUACCCCGCUGUUCUGACGGUACCCAAAGAAUAAGCACCGGCUAACUUCGUG
This 492-nucleotide ribosomal RNA is filed under the name uncultured bacterium. RNAcentral's name for it is "partial 16S ribosomal RNA". It matches the Rfam family "Bacterial small subunit ribosomal RNA", at positions 29 to 507 of the family's 1533-position model. The record is from RNAcentral.